Molecule: ribosomal RNA, 253 nt
Filed under: uncultured bacterium
Lineage: Bacteria
Description: partial 16S ribosomal RNA
Rfam family: Bacterial small subunit ribosomal RNA
Source: RNAcentral
UACGUAGGGGGCAAGCGUUGUCCGGAAUCAUUGGGCGUAAAGCGCGCGUAGGCGGCCGGUUAAGUCGGAUGUGAAAACCCGUGGCUCAACCACGGGCCUGCAUCCGAUACUGGCGGGCUCGAGGCAGGCAGGGGAGAUCGGAAUUCCUGGUGUAGCGGUGAAAUGCGCAGAUAUCAGGAGGAACACCGGUGGCGAAGGCGGAUCUCUGGGCCUGUCCUGACGCUCAGGCGCGAAAGCUAGGGGAGCAAACAGG